AGCUGACCCAGUGUGGAGAGUGUGCAGAUACGGUUUUGGAGCAUGUGCUUCCUCUGGAUUGGUGGAGGGAGCACCAAAACAGGUAUUUCCACCCCCAGGAAGGGGCAGCUGAUUGAUGAACAGCCAGUACAGGGAAAUGAAGCCAGAGGUUUUUUUAGCCAUCAUCUCCCCACAGACAAUGGGGAAGAAGCAGCCAGAUCCAUGGACCAGGGUGGUUGGAGGACCACCAGCUGAACUUGGGUCAUGACACACUGGGGAGCGAAGCAAAACAUCUAGGCAGUGAAGAUAGAAGCCCAGAUACAUUGGGGAGAGAGAGAGAGAGUGAGGAAACAGCCACCACAUGGAUGUCAAAGUUUUUCUUUUUCUUCUUUUUCCCCACCUUUUUGGUUGUUGAUGAAAUGGGGUUUCCCAAUGGAUGUACUGAGGAGGUAGCAAGAGUGAAAGCUUCUCUCCAGGGAGUGGGAAGACAUGUGGACCCUGACCUACACGUUCUAAGGCUGGGUAACAACCCCAGAAAAAAUUAUUUCAGUUAAUCCUUCUCUCAAUCUUAAAAUGGACUGAAUGAGUUGAGUGACCUGUAUGCCAUGGGGAAACUGAUUUCAUUUAAUCAUUCUUGGGACCUUAAAAUGGAUACAAGUAGAUUGAUCUAUACAAUGUGGAGAAGUUCAUGUCAGUUGAUCAUUCUUUGGAUCUUAGAAUGGAUUCAUAUGAGUUGAGUUUCCCCUCGCACUGUGGGGAAAUUGAUUUAAAUUGAUCAGUCUCUAGAUCUUAAGGGGACCAAUACCAUUGGUUUGACCCAUGCAAAGGGGGAAAAUUGAUUUAAGUUGAUCAUUCUCUGAAUUUUACAUGGAUUAAUAUAAGGUGGAGAAGUUGAUAUGAAUAGAUCAUGCUGUAGGUCUUGAAUGGACUGAUAUAAAUGGAUUGCCCAUGUACCCAGGGACAAAUGGAUUUAAAUUGAUUAUUUUCUGGGUCUUAAAAGGUCUGAUACAAAUUGACUAACCCAUACACCGGGGAGACAUUCAGUUAAGCUAACUAUGGUAUAGACUCUUGCACGGACUGAUCUAAGGGCCUUGUUCUAUAAACCUGUAAGGAACUGACUUAUGUCAUGGCCCUAAAGAGCCUAGGGAGAUUGAUUUGAACUUAGGCACUUCUCCAUUUCAGUGAGCCAGUGAGGUACAGCAAGCAGCGAACUGGUCUAUACAAGAUCAAGACGCAGGCAUGAAUCAUCUGCUGGGAUGUGGUAAGGAAGGGAAGGAGGAGCCCCAUGAAGAAAACCCCCAGAGUGAGCGGAGAAUUUUGAAAUUAAGGGAUUCUGUUUCAACUUGGAGUGAAAACAAAUCUUGAAAUCUUGAAAGCUACUGCAAAAAGAGAAAUCCCACACACUAUCUAGCUUUAGUAAUGGUGCUACAUUUUAGGAACUUGAUCAGCCAAAACAUUAACUAGAUCACUGAUUGCCCAAUCAUUAUGACAGAUGAAGAUGCAUGAAGCAGAAAGACUAAUGCAUGACUUUCAGAUCUAAGGCUGUAUUAGAAGUGCAGAUAAUUAGGAAGAAAAAUAAACUUUUCCCCCACUUUUUCUUUUUCGUUAAUUGAGGAACUGUUAUCUUGAGCUUGCUAAGAAAGAAAGAAAUGUGGAAUGCCAUAUUUAAAGUCAUCUUUUAAGAAGCUGGGACUUGAUAUUUGAGGAUUGUACUGUCCCUGAAUGUAGAUCUAGAACAUUAAGAACUUGUCCUUCUCCUGACACCCAGGCAUUAAAUCUGCAGGUCACCAGAGAAAAGCUUCCCAUUCCUGUUUUCUAAUAAGAUGGUUAUGCCCAAAGAACAGUUAGUGCACUGAGAGGUAAA
Long non-coding RNA from Alligator mississippiensis (American alligator), 1843 nucleotides. RefSeq lists it as uncharacterized. The record is from RefSeq and is a predicted model, not a curated record. The transcript is spliced from 3 exons. Lineage: Eukaryota; Metazoa; Chordata; Crocodylia; Alligatoridae.